CCAACCCUGAUGACACCUUGAUCUUGGACUUCACAGCCUCCAGAACUAACAUACUCAAGUGUCUCAGCUCAACAUUUGGAGAUGAGCCAUCCUCCUCUUAUUGUAAGAAAAGCUUGAAGGAGUAUUUUCACAGCGAUGGAACUGGAAGUUAAGGCAACUUCUAUCAGCAUCAAGAAAAGAAAAGAAGUAUUCACCACUUACGAAACAACAUCUCUCUUCUCAUCAAUAGUUUGAUUUACAGCAUCUACUGCAGAAGACCUCAAUAAUGCAUAAGAACAUCUGGAAGUACGGUAAUUUCAGCUAUCAGAGAUAAGAAUUGACACAGAACAGUUUCCUCACUGGAGAAAAUAAGCCUGGUUAUUUUUUGGCCUAUGUUGAAACAUCAUAAGUAGAAUGAAACAGCAUAAUUUUUUCCCCCUGGGGUUCAAGAGUUUAUUUCUUUUGAUACAACAAUAAAUCAACUGACGAAAUGGAAUUUCUUUGCAAUACAUAUGCAACAAGUUAGUUUGCAUGGACAAGUUGAGCUUCAGUUUAUAUAUAGACACUCUGGAACAUUUUAUUAUAAAGCAAUAGUGCUGGAAAGCCACUUAAAGGGGUAACUGCACCAGUAACUAUGAGAAGGAGAUAUAUGAUUAACCUAGUAGAACUUAAAAAGUGAUUUCUGCAGCUUUGAAAUCAUCUACACAUGAACUCAAGCAGCAAUACGUAUUGGCAUCUGGAAAUCUGCAGAUUUGGAUGCACAAACAAUUAGACAUAAGACACAGCAUAAUGAAGUAUUUGUUUUCAUAGAGGAUCAUAGAAAUUCAUAAACAGAGGAUGAAGAAACACAGAAGACAGAGGAAGGAUUUAGUUUUGGGAACAUGUGCUAAUGGCCAUCAAACAAUUCUGAAAUAACUGAAAGAGAACCUUUGAAACACCCUUUAGAUUAAGAGCCUGGCUUGUAAUCUGUAACAACAAACGGUAUUACAAUGAGGGGCUUCCUGCUUUGCUUGACACCCAUCCUCUCUCCUGCUUCCCUGUGAAGAGGUGCCUUCUGCCAUGAUUGCUGAGGCCUUCCCAUCCAUGUGGAACUGUGAGUCAAUUAAACCUUUUUCCUUAUAAAUUACCCAGUCUCAAGUGUUUCUUCAUAGCAAUGUGAAAACAAACUAAUAUAACUACUACAAAUAUAAGAUUUAGUAAAAAUAGUAGAUAGCAACAUACUGAACUUAUAAUGUUUCCAUUCAUAUAAAGCUAAAAACUAUGCAAAAAUAAACCAUAUUUAUUUAGAAAUGCAUCCAUAUGUUGUUAAAAUGUUUAAAGGCAAAUUAAUUGUGAAUACUAUAUUCAGAAUAGUGAUUUUCUCAGGGAGUGCAAUUUUAUUACAACGUCUUGCAAGCCAAUGUACUAUUACUGUUAUAAUUCUUGAACAAGGUGUUUUCUGUAUGAAUAUUUAGCUCAAUAUCAUUCUUUGUAUUUCACAUGAACAUUAUAUAUUUUUAUAUGCAUGAAUUUUGCAUAAUAAAAUUAUUUCUAAAACAAAGCCGAAAAGAAUACAUAUUUGCAUUUGAAUACUUAGUCUAAGGAUUAAAAAAAGGUAUUGUUUUAUAUAAAGCUGAAAUAAAUAUACUCUAUGGAGACAUAUUACUUUCAUUUCUUAUAUUUAAGAACUGAAAAAUUAUACACACCUACUGGAAAUAAAAAUAAAGAUAACAUGAAAAACCAAAUAUAUGAUGCCACUGGCCUUUUCUUUGUAACUAAAUUUAUUUAGACAAAAGCAUAAAUACUACCUGUGGAGAAAUGUUUAGCAAUUCUAUAUCUAAUUAUGUUAUUGUCAUAUGUAAACACAAUGAAAAGACUUUAUAAACUAGGUUAAGUGUUAGAAACUAUAGUGUUUUCUAGGGGGUGGGACACACCUUAAAUUACCACUAUGAAACCGGCAAUUUAAAUGUGUGAUAUUGGCCUGAUAACUGGAUUUAGGCUCUGAUAGUUGGUACUAUAUUGGUCACAUAAAUUCUGUUUCACUUUAUCUUGUUUUGAACUCCAUCUAAAGUAGAAGAUUCCUUCAUCAAUUUUUUUUUGGUCUCUCUUAGAGUACACCCUGUGUUUUCAAAUGUACUCUGCUUGCUUAUUAAAUACAGGUUAAGCUUGGUUUCCAAUGUGGAGAAACAAAUUCUGGAAUAAAAGUUCAUUAAUCAAUAGAAUGGCCUUUUCACAUCUACCCCCUCCCCAACAGUAAUCCCAUAGCUUUACAUAGCACCAAUAUGAAAACAAAAUGAAACGGUGCCAGAAUAAAAGCUUCAAUAUUUACUAAUUUGCCACUAGAAUAGUAUACUUACCAGUCUGACUGAGAUUUUAAAUAAAUUAAAUAUUGUUAUUCAGUCUGAAUUCUUAAAACAGUGGAAAGCAAUGAAAAAAAUAAAGAAAGUUACUUACAACAUAUUAUACAGCUGAUCUUUGAACAGCAUUAGGAUUAGGAGUGCCAACCCUCUACACAGUUGAAAAUCUAUAUAACUUCUGACUCCUCCAAAACGUAACUACUAGUUGCUUACUGUUGACCUGGAAGCCUUAUAGAUACCAUGAACAGUCAAUUAACACAUAUUUUGGAUGUUAUAGGUACAUAUACUGUAUUCCUAUAAUAAAGUAAGCUAGAGAAAAGAAAAUGUUAUUUAAAAAUCAUUUGUAAAAUACACUUGUCAUGUCAGGUAUGGCAAAGGGCAAAGAAAAUUCAUGUAUAGAUGAACCCACAUGGGUCACACCCAUGUUGUAUAAGGGUCACUUGUACUUCUUGAAUCUGAGUAUUCAACUCUUUCAAAUACUUUGGUAAAUUCUCACCUGUUACCCGGAAGCAUUGCCUCCCACCAUUCUCUGUAUUUUCCCUUUAUACUUUUAGACAUAUAUUGUAUUUCUGUUGGGCAUAUAUUAUUUUUUCUUAUUUUACCAUC
RNAcentral lists this long non-coding RNA (2921 nucleotides) under Homo sapiens (human). RNAcentral's name for it is "HSALNT0306692". The record is from RNAcentral. Lineage: Eukaryota; Metazoa; Chordata; Mammalia; Primates; Hominidae.